AUAUAGAUCUAGUACAGAUAUAUCAAAAAAAUUAAAAUAAAAUAUAUCCCAUAAUGCUCUAGGCAGGGUAAAACUAUGGUUCAUGAGAAGGACGGUGGCAUGAAUCUGUAGAUCCGGGAAUAUUAGGCUGGAAGAGGCGACAAGCAGAAAGGGACGGAAACUAUUAUUAUGAUUUAAGACCCGGUGCUGCCAAGACCGUUGCUUUCUCUCAUCCAUCCUCUCCUGUAGACCAAUCAUCCUUUUAACUGUUGGACUCCAUUCUUUACCCAUGGAGGAGAGCAAUUGAAAAAAUAAUAAUAAAGGAAAAAAAAGGCUAUAGACCCGGAGCCUGUGAAACAGUAAGGUUGUUGGUGCCCAAUUAUAGCUAUAUUGCUACAAGCCUAGACCCUCGGUGUCCAUGGGUUCGAGCGCCACGUUGGGACUACCUUUUUCUUUUUUUAGUUUUAAAUAAAUAGAGAAAUUGUAUACUUUUUAGUGAUGAAUCAUAAAAUCAUUAUUAAUACGUUGAUCAAUAUCGAUUUUGGUACAAAUAUUGUAACAAUGUAUUAUAUCAUCACUAAAAAUAGAGAUUUUUAAUGACCACUCUAUCAUCUCACCAUUAAAUGGUAUAUACCUACAAUAAGAAUUUUAUAAUGUCAUCACUAAAAACAUUAUUUUUUGUGAUGAAUCAUAAAAUAGUCAUUAGUAAGUUGAUCGAUAUCUAUUUUAACAC
RNAcentral lists this long non-coding RNA (712 nucleotides) under Phoenix dactylifera (date palm). RNAcentral's name for it is "long non-coding RNA (PDAC_LNC003660)". Lineage: Eukaryota; Viridiplantae; Streptophyta; Magnoliopsida; Arecales; Arecaceae. The record is from RNAcentral.